Molecule: ribosomal RNA, 1556 nt
Filed under: Armatimonadota bacterium
Lineage: Bacteria; Bacillati; Armatimonadota
Description: bacterial SSU rRNA
Rfam family: Bacterial small subunit ribosomal RNA
Source: RNAcentral
GACGGAGGGUUUGAUCCUGGCUCAGGACGAACGCUCGCGGCGUACCUAACGAAUGCGAGUCGAGCGGAGUGGGUUCAAAAGGUUGUCUUCGGACAACCGGGAGCCCACUUAGCGGCAAACGGGUGAGUAACACGUGGGUAACCUACCCCCCAGUGGGGGAUAGCCGGGGGAAACUCCGGGUAAUCCCCCAUACGCUGGCCGGACGCAUGUCUGGUCAGGAAAGGGUUCGCCCGCUGGGGGAUGGGCCCGCGGCCCAUCAGCUAGUUGGUGGGGUAACGGCCCACCAAGGCGACGACGGGUAGCCGGCCUGAGAGGGUGGUCGGCCACACGGGGACUGAGACAUGGUCCCGGCUCCUACGGGAGCUAGCAUCGGGGAAUCUUGCGCAAUGGGCGAAAGCCUGACGCAGUGUCGCCGCGUGGGGGAUGAAGGCCUUCGGGUCGUAAACCCCUGUCAGGAGGGAUGAAAGCCGGCUUUCGGGCCGGUUUGACAGUACCUCCAGAGGAAGCCCCGGCUAACUACGUGCCAGCAGCCGCGGUAAUACGUAGGGGGCGAGCGUUGUCCGGAUUUACUGGGCGUAAAGGGCGCGUAGGCGGUUCGGCAAGCGAGGGGUGAAAGCCCGCGGCUCAACCGCGGAAUUGCUCUUCGAACUGCCGAACUAGAGGCCGGGAGAGGGCAGUGGAAUUGCCGGUGUAGCGGUGAAAUGCGUAAAUAUCGGCAAGAACGCCAGUGGUGAAGACGGCUGCCUGGAACGGCCCUGACGCUGAGGCGCGAAAGCUGGGGGAGCGAACCGGAUUAGAUACCCGGGUAGUCCCAGCCCUAAACGAUGCGGGCUAGGUGUUGGAGGUGUCGACCCCUCCAGUGCUGCUAAGUUAACACGUUAAGCCCGCCGCCUGGGGAGUACGGCCGCAAGGCUGAAACUCAAAGGAAUUGACGGGGGCCCGCACAAGCGGUGGAGCAUGCGGGUUAAUGGGAUGAUACGCCAAGAACCUUACCAGGGCUUGACAUGCUGGUGGUAGCGACCCGAAAGGGAAGCGACCCCCGAAAGGGGGAGCCAGCACAGGUGGUGCAUGGUUGUCGUCAGCUCGUGCCGUGAGGUGUUGGGUUAAGUCCCGCAACGAGCGCAACCCCCGCCUGCUGUUGCCAGCGGACGGCUUCGGCCGUGCCGGGCUACUCAGCAGGGACCGCCGGCGUAAGCCGGAGGAAGGAGGGGACGACGUCAAAUCUGCAUGCCCCUUAUGCCCUGGGCUGCACGCGUGCUACAAUGGCGAGGACAAAGGGUUGCCAAGCCGUGAGGCGGAGCUAAUCCCCCAAACCUCGUCCCAGUUCGGAUCGGAGUCUGCAACUCGACUCCGUGAAGCCGGAAUCGCUAGUAACGGCGGAUCAGCAAUGCCGCCGUGAAUACGUUCCCGGGCCUUGUACACACCGCCCGUCAACUCAGGGGAGUCGGCAGCACCCGAAGUCCGCCCUUGAGGCGGCCGAAGGUGAGGCCGGCGACCAGGAGUAAGUCGUAACAAGGUAGCCGUAGCGGAAGCUGCGGCUGGAUCACCUCCUUUCU